CCGAAAUUAAAAAAACCACCCGUAAAAAACCCCCCCCCGCCUUGUGCGGGUAGAGGACCCUUGUCUUCUUUAUAUUUCUCCAAACUGGGCACCUCUUGGCCACUUGGAGCUGGAUUUUGUUCGAGUUGGGGCCGCCGUGCCUCCAAGUAAGCUAUGCCUUGCAGGUCUCCUUUCACCAAAAUGUUUAGAAUGGUUGGCCUAUGUGUAGGGGAGGGUACCAAUUUCAGCACGGAUCUCUUGGUUCCGCCGUCCAUGAGGACCCCGCGAAGGCGACGGUAUGUGAAUUGCCCAAUAAGUGAACCUCCCCCUCGUUGACCCCCUUGCGGUCCUUGGUUCCCCAGGAGCAUGCCCGUUUGAGUGCCCUUUAACCUCUCCCCCAUGUCCAUUGUUUUUUUGAUAUCCUUCGCAUGGGGGGGUUUUAUCUUCGGAUGCAUUGAAGGAACCCCCGCCCCCCUGGCACCCCUUAGUCGUAUCUGAGCGAACUGCGCUACCCCCCGUGAUACCUUCCAUGCCCCGGGCUCUCCCCAUGACCGUUUCGCCGCCUCCCACCGUGCCCUUUAGUGUUGGAUAACUUCGGCCGCGGGCAGCCGGACUACCCCUGAACUAACAUCGGCGGGAGGGGAGCAACC
This 629-nucleotide unclassified non-coding RNA is filed under the name Inocybe sp. SB85. Its description in RNAcentral is "sequence contains 18S rRNA gene, ITS1, 5.8S rRNA gene, ITS2 and 28S rRNA gene". The stretch from base 219 to 363 matches the Rfam family "5.8S ribosomal RNA". The record is from RNAcentral. Lineage: Eukaryota; Fungi; Basidiomycota; Agaricomycetes; Agaricales; Inocybaceae.